Molecule: transfer RNA, 58 nt
Filed under: Dictyocaulus viviparus (bovine lungworm)
Lineage: Eukaryota; Metazoa; Nematoda; Chromadorea; Rhabditida; Metastrongylidae
Description: tRNA-Met
Source: RNAcentral
AAAUAGGUUAGGAUAAAUUUAAGUCUUUUAGGUUCAUAUUUUAAAGGUUAAUCUUAUU